GCAUUGGUGGUUCAGUGGUAGAAUUCUUGCUUUCCACGCAGGAAGUCCAGGUUCGAAUCCCAGCCAGUGCA
This 71-nucleotide transfer RNA is filed under the name Loxodonta africana (African savanna elephant). It matches the Rfam family "tRNA". Rfam says of the family: Transfer RNA (tRNA) molecules are approximately 80 nucleotides in length. Their secondary structure includes four short double-helical elements and three loops (D, anti-codon, and T loops). Lineage: Eukaryota; Metazoa; Chordata; Mammalia; Proboscidea; Elephantidae. The record is from Rfam by way of RNAcentral.